UGGGGAAUAUUGGGCAAUGGGCGAAAGCCUGACCCAGCAACGCCGCGUGAGGGAAGAAGGUUUUCGGAUUGUAAACCUCUGUUCUUAGUGACGAAGGAAGUGACGGUAGCUAAGAAGGAAGCCCCGGCUAACUACGUGCCAGCAGCCGCGGUAAUACGUAGGGGGCGAGCGUUGUCCGGAAUUACUGGGCGUAAAGGGCGUGUAGGCGGAGAUGCAAGUUGGGAGUGAAAUCUAUGGGCUCAACCCAUAAACUGCUUCCAAAACUGUAUCCCUUGAGUAUCGGAGAGGCAAGCGGAAUUCCUAGUGUAGCGGUGAAAUGCGUAGAUAUUAGGAGGAACACCAGUGGCGAAGGCGGCUUGCUGGACGACAACUGACGCUGAGGCGCGAAAGCGUGGGGAGC
RNAcentral lists this ribosomal RNA (400 nucleotides) under uncultured Peptococcaceae bacterium. RNAcentral's name for it is "bacterial SSU rRNA". It matches the Rfam family "Bacterial small subunit ribosomal RNA", at positions 355 to 769 of the family's 1533-position model. Lineage: Bacteria; Bacillati; Bacillota; Clostridia; Eubacteriales; Peptococcaceae. The record is from RNAcentral.